Molecule: ribosomal RNA, 450 nt
Filed under: uncultured bacterium
Lineage: Bacteria
Description: partial 16S ribosomal RNA
Rfam family: Bacterial small subunit ribosomal RNA
Source: RNAcentral
GUGGGGAAUUUUGGACAAUGGGCGCAAGCCUGAUCCAGCAAUGCCGCGUGCAGGAAGAAGGCCUUCGGGUUGUAAACUGCUUUUGUACGGAACGAAACGGUCCUGGUUAAUACCUGGGGCUAAUGACGGUACCGUAAGAAUAAGCACCGGCUAACUACGUGCCAGCAGCCGCGGUAAUACGUAGGGUGCGAGCGUUAAUCGGAAUUACUGGGCGUAAAGCGUGCGCAGGCGGUGCUGUAAGACAGGCGUGAAAUCCCCGGGCUCAACCUGGGAAUUGCGCUUGGGACUGCAGUGAUGGAGUACGGCAGAGGGGGAUGGAAUUCCGCGUGUAGCAGUGAAAUGCGUAGAUAUGCGGAGGAACACCGAUGGCGAAGGCAAUCCCCUGGGCCUGCACUGACGCUCAUGCACGAAAGCGUGGGGAGCAAACAGGAUUAGAUACCCUGGUAGUCC